UACGGAGGGUGCGAGCGUUAAUCGGAAUUACUGGGCGUAAAGCGCACGUAGGCGGUCAGGCAAGUCGGGUGUGAAAGCCCUGGGCUCAACCUGGGAAUUGCAUUCGAAACUAUCUGACUCGAGUAUGGGAGAGGGAAGCGGAAUUUCCGGUGUAGCGGUGAAAUGCGUAGAUAUCGGAAGGAACACCAGUGGCGAAGGCGGCUUCCUGGACUAAUACUGACGCUGAGGAGCGAAAGCCAGGGGAGCAAACGGG
This 253-nucleotide ribosomal RNA is filed under the name uncultured bacterium. RNAcentral describes it as "partial 16S ribosomal RNA". It matches the Rfam family "Bacterial small subunit ribosomal RNA", at positions 524 to 776 of the family's 1533-position model. The record is from RNAcentral.